This 464-nucleotide ribosomal RNA is filed under the name Vreelandella stevensii. RNAcentral's name for it is "partial 16S ribosomal RNA". It matches the Rfam family "Bacterial small subunit ribosomal RNA", at positions 338 to 795 of the family's 1533-position model. The record is from RNAcentral. Lineage: Bacteria; Pseudomonadati; Pseudomonadota; Gammaproteobacteria; Oceanospirillales; Halomonadaceae.
CCUACGGGGGGCUGCAGUGGGGAAUAUUGGACAAUGGGGGGAACCCUGAUCCAGCCAUGCCGCGUGUGUGAAGAAGGCCCUCGGGUUGUAAAGCACUUUCAGUGAGGAAGAACGCCUGGUGGUUAAUACCCAUCAGGAAAGACAUCACUCACAGAAGAAGCACCGGCUAACUCCGUGCCAGCAGCCGCGGUAAUACGGAGGGUGCGAGCGUUAAUCGGAAUUACUGGGCGUAAAGCGCGCGUAGGUGGCUUGAUAAGCCGGUUGGGAAAGCCCCGGGCUCAACCUGGGAACGGCAUCCGGAACUGUCAAGCUAGAGGGCAGGAGAGGAAGGUAGAAUUCCCGGUGUAGCGGUGAAAUGCGUAGAGAUCGGGAGGAAUACCAGUGGCGAAGGCGGCCUUCUGGACUGACACUGACACUGAGGUGCGAAAGCGUGGGUAGCAAACAGGAUUAGAUCCCCAGUAGUC